RNAcentral lists this ribosomal RNA (236 nucleotides) under uncultured bacterium. Its description in RNAcentral is "partial 16S ribosomal RNA". It matches the Rfam family "Bacterial small subunit ribosomal RNA", at positions 118 to 354 of the family's 1533-position model. The record is from RNAcentral.
UGAGCAAUCUGCCCUUCUCUUUGGAAUAAGCGUUGGAAACGACGUCUAAUGCCGAAUACGACCUCCUUUCGCAUGAUCGGAGGUGGAAAGCUCCGGCGGAGAAGGAUGAGCUCGCGGCCUAUCAGCUAGUUGGUGGGGUAGUGGCCUACCAAGGCGACGACGGGUAGCCGGCCUGAGAGGGUGACCGGCCACACUGGGGCUGAGACACGGCCCAGACUCCUACGGGAGGCAGCAGG